ACGCAGACGCAUACAAGUACACACGUUGAGCAAAGCCGCACUGGCCAAACAUGAGCGCGGCAAGUGCGCGGCACAACGCGCCAGCAACUCCUUCGACGGCGGCGUCGCCGUACAUUUGUCUCUCAACGCAAUGCGACGGGCUGUACCGCGUUGGAGCACUGCCGCACCGCUUCGCUUCUAUCUCCGAGCAGAGCGUCUACACCCGUGCCGCCGAGCAGCUGCGCUUUAUUACGCCGCCGCCAAACCUGAUGCCAGGCGUGGGUGAACGUACCACUAGCAGCGAUACCGCUGCUCCGUGCAAGAGGGUAGGCAACGACGUGGACCCCUUGCUGCCGCACGUGUGCACGAGCGCGCAGCCACUACACCCCUUUCCAUCUAUCGAGUACUUUGAGGCUGCCCGACGAGCAGCACUGGUGCAAGCGGAGAGGCGAGCAAAAGCGCACCGCUGGUCUUCUACCGAGCCGACAAUGGGGUCGGGUGAGGCGGCAGCAACUGCGUCGGUGCUGCUCAACGGACUUGUCCCCAGUGGAUCGCUAUUGGCGCAACGCACCUACCGUCACGACUACGAGGGCCACCGCUGUAAAGAGCACAUGGGUGCCACUGCAGCGGCACCGCCUGGCGAUGCAGCGGAGCAGACAGUUGGCUCAUUGCUCAAAGACUCGCCAAAGACUCCCCCGCCAUCGCCUCAGUUGAUCUUUCCCUCGCCAGUGCUGCUCCGUGCGGUGGCGCAGCUGGUGCUGACACUGCAAGCCUCCGCCAGCACCUCUGCUGCACGAUUCACGCUGGCGCAGUACCGCGAUGUGCAGCUGCUCCCGUGGCGCAGGAGUCUCCAUGAGGCAAAAGAGCCGGCGGCUUCUUCUGCACCACGCCGGUUCCAUGAAGCGGUUGUGGUCUCCGUCCUGCCACAGGUUGUGGCAGACUGUGUUGCUUCUCGCGCACGAGCGGCCCCUGGCCAAACUAGGAGUUCUCUAUCUGCCUCUGUCGAAGACGGAAACAGCGCGACUCUGUACGCCCUCACCCCUUCUGCAGGCCCCUCCGCGCUGAUGGGCACGCGAGGAGCGAAGCGAGCGAGAGAAGAAGCACAGGGGGAAACCACACAAGAGGGGAAAGCAGUGAGUGCAGCCAGCGCAGCCAUUGUACCGGGCGCUGUGCUAUGCGAGCGGCUUUCGACCACUAACGAGGCGCCAAGAGCGCAAACCGCUCUCGUUCGCUACGCCGCCGUCUGCGCAGAUGCCUUUGAAAGAUGGGUACCGCCCAUCGGAAAGAGGGAUGCAAGCCCACCGCCUACGCCUUCAACGGCGUCCUGUGUCCCAGAGACGUUCUUGUACGAGGAGGAGUCGGCGUGGAUGACAGACGGCAUCUUUUACCCCCUCUUCUCGCUUCCCUUGAAGCCGCUUGCGGAGCCCGCUGUUGUAGCCGGUGGCAAUGCGCCCGCCGGGGAGAACAACAGCAGCGGGCAGAGCACGGCAAACGUGACAUUUGUGAAGACCAGCGCGUUUUUGUUUCUGUCGUUUCUCGUGCACCGCAGUUGGUGCGCGCACGUGCACUCGGCUGUAACGCAGGCGAUGGCGGCACAUCAGCUGCCCUCCAAGAUCAAGCAGCGCGCAGGCUCACUAGGGCUGACUUUCACCGGGACUCACGUGACACGUCUGCCCCCUGUGCGAGAGGUGCGGCGAUCGCCACAGUACGAGUGGAGGUCGGCGCUAGUCUAUCGUGUUCACGGCGAGAGGGAGGCGGAACGCGCCGCAAGCAAUGCUGUGUGCCGCAUCGAAGGCGAUGAAGGAGUUCGCGGGGCUGCUCUGGCGAUCGGCAUAGCAGCAGAAUCCCUACUCUGCGGGCCAGUUCUGUGGCAGCUGACUGUCCUGGUAGUGAACCGAAAUGCGCAGCUGCAGUGGUGCAUGCACAGAACAAGUCUAGCCACCUGUGUCGGAGCCGACUCAGCAGCGACUUCUUUGCCACAUGAUGCACACAAGGACAUCCUGGAGGGGUCUGGGACCCUCGAUGACCUCCUGCAGCGACUAUAGAGUUGCCUGCUGACCCGCCGGGCGCAUGACGGUGAACACACAUAUAUAUAUAUAUAUAUAUAUAUGUAUAUUCAUCUUGCUCGGUUUGUGUGUGCUGAUGUGUGUAUGUGUGUGUCUGUCUGAUGAGGCUUUUGUGGCG
Molecule: unclassified non-coding RNA, 2163 nt
Filed under: Leishmania donovani
Lineage: Eukaryota; Euglenozoa; Kinetoplastea; Trypanosomatida; Trypanosomatidae
Description: gene:LdHU3.34.2010(CDS-product:hypothetical_prote in_conserved)
Source: RNAcentral